GUCAUUUACACCCCUCAAGCCUAGCUUGGAAUUGGGAGGCUGCCCCCGGGGCACCCCCGAAAUGUAUCGGCGACGUGGGAGGUUCCCCUAGCGAAGUGACUUAAAAAUCGCGCUACAUGGGUUCCUGCCCCCGUUGGCCGCUAAACCAACCAACUUUUACGAUUGACCUCGGAUCAGGUAGGGAUACCCGCUGAACUUAA
RNAcentral lists this unclassified non-coding RNA (200 nucleotides) under soil metagenome. RNAcentral's name for it is "partial contains internal transcribed spacer 2 and large subunit ribosomal RNA". The record is from RNAcentral.